Molecule: ribosomal RNA, 602 nt
Filed under: Burkholderia sp. N2b25_3
Lineage: Bacteria; Pseudomonadati; Pseudomonadota; Betaproteobacteria; Burkholderiales; Burkholderiaceae
Description: bacterial SSU rRNA
Rfam family: Bacterial small subunit ribosomal RNA
Source: RNAcentral
UGUGAAGAAGGCCUUCGGGUUGUAAAGCACUUUUGUCCGGAAAGAAAACUUCGAGGUUAAUACCCUUGGAGGAUGACGGUACCGGAAGAAUAAGCACCGGCUAACUACGUGCCAGCAGCCGCGGUAAUACGUAGGGUGCGAGCGUUAAUCGGAAUUACUGGGCGUAAAGCGUGCGCAGGCGGUCUGUUAAGACCGAUGUGAAAUCCCCGGGCUUAACCUGGGAACUGCAUUGGUGACUGGCAGGCUUUGAGUGUGGCAGAGGGGGGUAGAAUUCCACGUGUAGCAGUGAAAUGCGUAGAGAUGUGGAGGAAUACCGAUGGCGAAGGCAGCCCCCUGGGCCAACACUGACGCUCAUGCACGAAAGCGUGGGGAGCAAACAGGAUUAGAUACCCUGGUAGUCCACGCCCUAAACGAUGUCAACUAGUUGUUGGGGAUUCAUUUCCUUAGUAACGUAGCUAACGCGUGAAGUUGACCGCCUGGGGAGUACGGUCGCAAGAUUAAAACUCAAAGGAAUUGACGGGGACCCGCACAAGCGGUGGAUGAUGUGGAUUAAUUCGAUGCAACGCGAAAAACCUUACCUACCCUUGACAUGGUCGGAACCC